UGUUUCGGCUAGGGGGCCAUCCCGGCUUACCAACCCGAUGCAAACUGCGAAUACCGGAGAAUGUUAUCACGGGAGACACACGGCGGGUGCUAACGUCCGUCGUGAAGAGGGAAACAACCCAGACCGCCAGCUAAGGUCCCAAAGUCAUGGUUAAGUGGGAAACGAUGUGGGAAGGCCCAGACAGCCAGGAUGUUGGCUUAGAAGCAGCCAUCAUUUAAAGAAAGCGUAAUAGCUCACUGGUCGAGUCGGCCUGCGCGGAAGAUGUAACGGGGCUAAACCAUGCACCGAAGCUGCGGCAGCGACGCUUAUGCGUUGUUGGGUAGGGGAGCGUUCUGUAAGCCUGCGAAGGUGGCCUGUGAGGGUUGCUGGAGGUAUCAGAAGUGCGAAUGCUGACAUAAGUAACGAUAAAGCGGGUGAAAAGCCCGCUCGCCGGAAGACCAAGGGUUCCUGUCCAACGUUAAUCGGGGCAGGGUGAGUCGACCCCUAAGGCGAGGCCGAAAGGCGUAGUCGAUGGGAAACAGGUUAAUAUUCC
Molecule: ribosomal RNA, 532 nt
Filed under: Salmonella enterica subsp. enterica serovar Kingston
Lineage: Bacteria; Pseudomonadati; Pseudomonadota; Gammaproteobacteria; Enterobacterales; Enterobacteriaceae
Description: partial 23S ribosomal RNA
Rfam family: Bacterial large subunit ribosomal RNA
Source: RNAcentral